This is a long non-coding RNA of Panonychus citri (citrus red mite), 1682 nucleotides long. RefSeq lists it as uncharacterized. The transcript has 3 exons. The record is from RefSeq and is a predicted model, not a curated record. NCBI's taxonomy places the organism in Eukaryota, Metazoa, Arthropoda, Arachnida, Trombidiformes, Tetranychidae.
CGUCCUCCAAAAGAUCGACUUUUUCCAUUGUGUUCAUCAUCUUCAUCAUCAUCAUCAUCAUCAUGGUUUCAGGAUGAAAAGGAGGAUCCAAGAAGAAGAAGAACAAGUGAGUUUUUUUUUUCUUCUUCUUCUUCUCCUUGAUGAAAGAUCAGCUCAUAGGAAUAUGAGUAUUUCUAUUUACAGGUAAAGUGAAUUCCAUGGUUAUUAGAAGAAAAAAUUCUUAUGAUUUCAUUUGAAAUUCUAAUUUGAUGACCAAGGCCCAAGAAAAAACUCUUCUCUAUUCUUGGUUAUCAUCAACAGGAUAAUCGCUGGUUAAUCAUUGGAGAUGAUGAAUUGUGAUAAUUUAGAAAAUUUAUCAACCUGUUGGCUCCUUAAUCAGGUAAUCGAUUUAUUCUUACCCUUUCCAUGAAAAUAACAAGAAAUUUGAAUGGUUGAAAUUCGUUGAAUUCAGUUAAUUUAAUUAAUCUCUUGAUUGAUCAUAUGUUGAAUUUUGUUUACCUUUUAAAAUUGUAGAGAAAUCUUCAUCUGGUUCAUUCAUGGGGCUCAUUUAUCGUAUCGUUCAGCUGAAUUAAUGAUUAUUCUCAUUGGAAAUUGAUAAGAAUAAAAUUGCAAUAAUAAUAUGAUAGAACUGAAUUUAUCUAUUUUGAUAGAUAACCAAUCAAUUGAAACUCUCACGGUGAUCAAACUAAUUACGGAAUGAUUUACAAUCUCAGGUAAAGUGCUAGAUAUUUUGUUGAUCAUCAUCAGCAACAAUCAAGUGAAUCAAAUUUAGUGAUUUGAUUGAUUGUCCAAGAAAAUGUCUAAUUGAGUAAAAAGCAAUAACAGUAAAUGAAAUAAUCCAAUUGCGUGGGUUUUUAGAGUUUACAACAGUAAAGAUCAUAUAAAAAGUAAGAAAAAGAGUUUAAAUUGUUGUUAAUUCCGGAAAUUUGGUGUUUCUCUAAUCAUCCAGAGUAAUAUACUUUUCCAAGAGUUGGUUAAUUUAAUGGACAAUUAACUAAUUAACCGGGGAAAAAAACGAAACGAAAUCCAGUUAACCAAAACGUUUGAAGAUGCGGAGAUAAUGUUAAUCCAAUUUGAUUAUUUUACAGAUUAACAAUUUAAAAUGAGAAAAUUAAUCAUUCAAGGAUAUUAAUUAAUGUUCUCAAUCGACUAAUCAACUCUAAUUCUGUGUAAUUUGACUCCAAUUUUAAUUGUUAUCAAUUGAAUUGAGUGAAAGUAAGAAAACGUUAGUUUCGUCAUUAGUUUUAAUUGUUUCGUUUUCUUUUUGAUUAUUCUUAGACCUGUCGAAGUAUUUAAAUUAGAAUCCAUUCUAAUUGUUGAUUAGAAGACAAUUAAUUUAGCAAAGUAACAAAAAAAGACAAACAUUUGAUACUUGAUUGAAAAUAAAAGUGACAAUUGAUUGAUUGUUUAUUGUUAACAAUUUAAUCCAAAUUUAAUCAAAAGUUAAAUUAAAAGUUCAUGUGACAGUUGUGUAGGCUUUUUAAUUGUUCAAUUUAAUCAAAAAUACUACUAAUUGUAACAAAAAUCUUCUUCUCUAUUGAUAAACUCUUUUAAUUGUUCAACUUUUCUGCGUUUUAAUUGUUCAAUUAUAAUCAAAGAAUUUACCUUGAGAAAUGUUAAUUUUACGACAAUCAACUAAUUAGAAACAGUUUUUCCCUUUUCCAAUAUAAUUCACAUUUGCA